RNAcentral lists this long non-coding RNA (333 nucleotides) under Daucus carota (carrot). Its description in RNAcentral is "long non-coding RNA (DCAR_LNC007342)". The record is from RNAcentral. Lineage: Eukaryota; Viridiplantae; Streptophyta; Magnoliopsida; Apiales; Apiaceae.
GAAUAGUCUAAACAAUAUUAAAAGAGUAAAACAAGAGUUUCGAAACAAAUCCGAAUGAGCAUCCAAAGUUACGCCUACUUCGAAGAAUUACAAAGAUGAAAUUAUGAACUAGAUCUUCUUCGUAGCCGUCACGUGCUCCUUGGAAUGAUUCUCGGUUAUUAGGCUUCUCCCUUGAGCUUUUGUUUAAGUCCCACAGCGAUCGGGCCUUCAAACGGAUCAAGAAUAGGCAAUUUGGGCUUUUUCUUCCAACAGAAUGGGGUGGAGACCCCGUCAGUGGGGUGGAGACCCCGUCAGUGGGGUGGAGACCCCGUCAGUGGGGUGGAGACCCCGUCA